GAACAGAUUAGACGGAAAACCAUUUGAUGAUGCAGAUCAGAGGCUGUUUGAGGCAUUUGUGAUAUUCUGUGGACUGGGAAUCAAUAACACCAUUAUGUAUGACCAAGUGAAGAAGUCCUGGGCCAAACAGUCUGUCGCUUUGGAUGUGCUGUCAUAUCACGCCACUUGCUCAAAGACUGAGGUGGAUAA
Molecule: long non-coding RNA, 189 nt
Organism: Sinocyclocheilus grahami
Lineage: Eukaryota; Metazoa; Chordata; Actinopteri; Cypriniformes; Cyprinidae
Exons: 3
Source: RefSeq, a predicted model, not a curated record